Molecule: long non-coding RNA, 2091 nt
Organism: Mauremys mutica (yellowpond turtle)
Lineage: Eukaryota; Metazoa; Chordata; Testudines; Geoemydidae
Exons: 4
Source: RefSeq, a predicted model, not a curated record
GGGAGAAUGAGCAUGGCCAAAGAGAACCCAUUUAAAAAUGAAUACGUGGUUGGGGAGCCUUUUUUGCACCGUUGCUCUAACUCUGUUCUUUCUGCUGUCGAGAUUGUAGAAAGCCUUGGGCCCUAGAUUUGGCAGGGUUCUGUCUCAAACCUAGUGAGCUGAGAGGUGGCUAAGGCUCUGAACGAGGUCUUGGGAGAUGUGGAGUUGGUCCCUGUUUUCGCCCAACAUUUCCUGUGUGACCAUGGACAAGUCACUGACUAGACCCUCUUGAGCCUCAGUUUUCCAUGUAUACAAAGGGGGAAGUAAUACUCACUUUCUCCCUCCCUUUGUCUGCUUAGAACAGAAGCUCUUUGGGGGCAGGAACUGACUCUUAAUGAGUGUCUAUGCAGCGCCUAGCGCUACGGAGUUGGCACCACUAGAAACUAAUAGAAUACCCAGAUUAACUGUUUGUAACUUUAUGGCAGUCCCCAAACUAUACACUUAGACUAUGUGUUAGACAAGUUCCUUUGCUUUCUCCAUCUCCAGAUUCUGCAUUCAGUAUCCAAGAGCAAAUGACUAAAUAUGGAGUUCAACCCUUCCCCUUGAAAGGAUGAACACACAGGCUUAUGAACCCUGUGAACUUGGCAAGCUUUUAAAGCGACAGUGUGAGCUUGCUGUCUCCACGGAUGAGCUUUCUGGGGCUCUUUCAGCCAUGAACCCAUUCAGUUGCACAGAGAAUGUGGACCAGAGCGUUCGGCUGUUCAUAAAUUUGUAACAGCACCUUCCUCCAGGCAAAUAUUAAAUACCUUCGCCUACUGUGUUAGGGAUCUCUUUCCAUUUUUUAGCUAAUGUAUAAAAUGAAUAAAGAGACUGGUAAGGCUGGUGAAAAGAGGACGAGGACGGCAGGAGCAGACAAAGAUCCGUCCACGUCGAAAUGAAAACAACGGGAGAGCACCCCCGAUAGAGUAUUGAAGACUCGAGGUGAACUUUCACCAAAAGAGAAGCCAUCUACUUUCAAAAAAGCCUUUCAAGACUCAUGGCUUCAAUAAGGUAAAUACCAAGACUGGCUGCAGAAAGUAGAAAACAAUCGUUUUUUUGCUUAUUGCAAAUGUUGUGCUGUAAAAAUCCAGGCACGUACUAGUGAGUUAGAUACGGAUGCUAAUGGUAAAAAACAUAAACAAAAGGUUGAGACAGUAUCUAAUACAAAGAAAAUUGAUGAUAUGUUUAAUAAACAAGAUUGUGAAAUUAAAAAAGCAAAAACAUUUGAAGAGCAAGUUAAAAAUGCAGAGAUUAGAAUGGCCUGUUACUUUGCUGAACACAAUGACAGUAUUAAGUCGGUAGAACACUUGACUGAAGUAGUUUAAAAAUGUUUCCCUGAUUCCAAAAUUGCUGAGGCUGUAACAUUAAAGAAAGAUAAAUGUACUGGUAUAAUUAGCAAUGUUUUGGUGCAAACUGAGACUGAGGAACUUGUAGACAAUUGAAAGUUAAUGAAUUUAGAUUAUUCAGGUCAAUUCAUGUUUGCAAAUAUAUCUGAACUGGCUAAAAAGGUUUUCACAUUACCGCAUUCAAAUGCAGCAUGUGAAAGAAUUUUUUCCAUGGUAACUGACAUAAAAAGAAACUGUAUGACAACCAAAACACUCAAUUCUAGUGUAGUUAUAAAGUCAGCUUUGAAAGCAAAGCAAGAGAAAUGUUCUAAUUUUGUAAUUACUAUUAAGCACUUGUAUUGUAAAAAUAAGUACAGUAAAAAUAACAGUGAUAAAACUAGUAAAAUAUUAAUGAUGGUAAUGAUGUUGCUAGUGACAACUCAGACCGUGAGUCAGAAAAUGGAUAAAAUUCAGAUUAUAAUAAGGAAAAUUAUAUAAAAGAGUGUUAUUUGUUCUGUUUGCCUUUCUAUCUUAUUUUGUAAUAUGUUUAUUUUUUAUUUUUUUCAAAGUAACUUUGAUGUACAGUACACUGCAGGGCACAUGCUGUACUUAUUAAUACUUUUGUUUUUAAAAUAGUGAAAUUUGUGUAAAAUACAUUGUUUUCUAUAAUUUCAAUCCUACUCUUCAUGAGUUAAAUAUUUUAUUUACUGUAUAAGUAACAUAAGUUUAAAAUUGAAAGACAUGUCUA